UACGUAGGGGGCGAGCGUUAUCCGGAAUUACUGGGUGUAAAGGGUGCGUAGGCGGUAUGGCAAGUCAGUUGUGAAACCCCCUGGCUCAACCAGGGGCUUGCAAUUGAAACUGUCAUACUAGAGUGCAGGAGAGGAAAGCGGAAUUCCUAGUGUAGCGGUGAAAUGCGUAGAUAUUAGGAAGAACACCAGUGGCGAAGGCGGCUUUCUGGACUGUAACAGACGCUGAGGCACGAAAGCGUGGGGAGCGAACAGG
RNAcentral lists this ribosomal RNA (253 nucleotides) under uncultured bacterium. Its description in RNAcentral is "partial 16S ribosomal RNA". It matches the Rfam family "Bacterial small subunit ribosomal RNA", at positions 524 to 776 of the family's 1533-position model. The record is from RNAcentral. RNAcentral also lists the same sequence under 1 other name.